RNAcentral lists this ribosomal RNA (351 nucleotides) under uncultured bacterium. RNAcentral describes it as "bacterial SSU rRNA". It matches the Rfam family "Bacterial small subunit ribosomal RNA", at positions 917 to 1271 of the family's 1533-position model. The record is from RNAcentral.
GGGCCCGCACAAGCGGUGGAGCAUGUGGCUUAAUUCGAUGCAACGCGAGGAACCUUACCUGGGCUAAAUCCACAGUGAUGUCUUCUGGAAACAGGAGUCCCUUAGGGGCACUAUGGAAGGUGCUGCAUGGCUGUCGUCAGCUCGUGCCGUGAGGUGUUGGUUAAGUCCCGCAACGAGCGCAACCCCUGUGGUUAGUUACCAGCACGUAAAGGUGGGGACUCUAGCCAGACUGCCUACGCAAGUAGUGAGGAAGGUGGGGACGACGUCAAGUCAUCAUGGCCCUUACGUCCAGGGCUGCACACGUGCUACAAUGGUCGGUACAAUGGGUCGCCACCCAGCGAUGGGCGCAAA